UACGUAGGUGGCGAGCGUUGUCCGGAUUUACUGGGCGUAAAGGGAGCGUAGGCGGACUUUUAAGUGAGAUGUGAAAUACCCGGGCUCAACUUGGGUGCUGCAUUUCAAACUGGAAGUCUAGAGUGCAGGAGAGGAGAAUGGAAUUCCUAGUGUAGCGGUGAAAUGCGUAGAGAUUAGGAAGAACACCAGUGGCGAAGGCGAUUCUCUGGACUGUAACUGACGCUGAGGCUCGAAAGCGCGGGGAUCAAACAGGAUUAGAUACCCCGGUAGU
This 271-nucleotide ribosomal RNA is filed under the name uncultured prokaryote. RNAcentral's name for it is "partial 16S ribosomal RNA". It matches the Rfam family "Bacterial small subunit ribosomal RNA", at positions 524 to 794 of the family's 1533-position model. The record is from RNAcentral.